Molecule: non-coding RNA, 100 nt
Organism: Hypoxylon argillaceum
Lineage: Eukaryota; Fungi; Ascomycota; Sordariomycetes; Xylariales; Hypoxylaceae
Source: the annotation of a GenBank genome assembly
GGGCGAAUGGUCUAGGGGUAUGAUACUCCCUUCGCACGUUCUGAAUUGUUCAGAAUUAGGUGACUGGGAGGGGUCCGGGGUUCAAUUCCCCGUUCGUCCA